ACGCACUGCAUACGCCACCAACACCACUACCUUUUGCUUAACUCUUUGAUAUAAUUACUUGUUAAUUCUUGCAUGGCAGUGAGCCUGCUUGCACGCGAGGUAUCCGACCUCUGUCUAGGAAAGCCUGCACUGAGGUCUCUCCCGCUCACCGCCACUGUUGCAGAAGCUCUCUUUGCUCUAAAGAACUCUGAUGAUAACUUCUUAAGCGUCUGGAGUUGUGACCACACGCCUAAGACAGUUACUGGGUUUCAAGGGGAUGUUGAUGAAGAUGAAUGUAUAUGUGUUGGGAAGGUGAGCAUAGCGGAUGUCAUAUGCUAUCUUUGCCAGGAUGACAACUUGCUAUCGCCUUCAUCAGCCUUGAAAGCUCCUCUUUCUGUUCUGUUGCCUAAGAUUCCUGGCCUUGUCAUGCAUGUGGAACCAUCUUCGAGCUUAUUAGAAGUAAUUGAUCUGAUCCUUCAAGGAGCUCAAAACCUGGUGGUACCUAUAAAGACUAGACUCAGUUCCUUCAAUUCAAGAAGAAAACAGCAGCAGAAACUCCUGGUAACAACCAACUCCCCCACCACCAUCCACGGAGGCCGCGAAUUCUGCUGGCUAACUCAAGAAGAUAUAAUAAGAUUCCUCCUCAGCUCCAUCGGCCUUUUCUCUCCCAUCCCAGCUCUCUCCAUCGACAGUCUUGGCAUCAUCAGCACUGACAUCAUUACCACAGACUACCACUCCCCUGCUUCCUCCGCAGUUGCAGCCAUUUCUCGCUGUCUGGCGGACCAGACUUCAGUCGCAGUGGUUGACGGCGACGAGGGUAUCUUGAUCGGAGAGCUGUCGCCACUCACACUAGCCUGCUGCGAUGAGACAGUGGCAGCAGCCAUCACGACCCUGUCCUGUGGGGAUUUAAUGGCCUACAUUGAUUGUGGAGGCCCCCCAGAGGACCUCGUCAGGGUAGUGAUGGCAAGGCUGAAGCAGAGAGACCUCGAAGCUAUGCUACAAAAAUUCAAAAACUCAACAACAUCACUCGUCUCACUAUCUUCUUCGUCAUCAUCAGAUGAGGAGUCUGGAACAACAUUGUAUAGGUCAGGGAAGUACAGUAGGUCAAUGAGUUACUCUGCAAGGAUGGUGAGAAGAGCGGAGGCAAUAGUUUGCCAUCCUAAAAGCUCACUGGUGGCAGUGAUGAUUCAGGCAAUUGCACACAGAGUAAAUUAUGUGUGGGUUAUAGAGGAGAAUUGUAGCUUGGUUGGCAUUGUUACAUUCUGUAAUAUGCUGAAGGUUUUCAGGGAACAUUUAGAGCCACAGACUAUGGCCCAAAAAAGCUGAACAGAGGAGUGAUGAGGAGCAUUUCUAAUUUCUAGUAAAGUUUUGAUUUUUAGUUUUGUGGGUUUUAAUCAUCUGCUAAGGCUUAGAUGCUAGUAUGGUGGAAGCUUAAUAUAAGAAAAUGAGUGAUUAGGACUGUGAUGUGAAUGUGCAACAUCUUUUCUUUACUUAAUGAAUGUGCUUUUCACCUUUACUUUGUUUUUCCAAGUUUCAAUUAUGUGAACUUAGGAAAGCAGACAUUGGCAGAAGAUGUCUCUGUAAUCUGUCUCCUCUUGCCUUUUUAUAUUGUAUAAUUAG
RNAcentral lists this unclassified non-coding RNA (1599 nucleotides) under Hevea brasiliensis (rubber tree). Lineage: Eukaryota; Viridiplantae; Streptophyta; Magnoliopsida; Malpighiales; Euphorbiaceae. The record is from RNAcentral.